CAAUACAGGAAAGGAAAAGGAAAAUGGAUUUCGCUCCAUUUAGCAAAGCCAAACUAGGAACAAACAGGGAGAGGAACAGAACUCAUGCCCUGCGCUGUUCAAUCCAUUGGGUACAAUUCUCUGGCUCAAGUCAACAGUCCUAAGCAGAUGGCUGCCGUUAGCAGAAAACAAGCACCUGAGGAGGGAAGUGGAAACAAGUAACUCCAAACAACCAUCUGCUUCUUAAUUUUAAAGCAAAGGGCACAAAGAACUUUGAGGCACUACCAGUCCUGUUGUCAUCCCCUAUCUGACAAGAAGAACAGAAGUGAAGACAAUGGAGACCUAAGGGGGGCUUUUUUUGCCUCCUGUCAAGGUAAACGUUCCUCAGGGAA
Molecule: long non-coding RNA, 371 nt
Organism: Pezoporus occidentalis (night parrot)
Lineage: Eukaryota; Metazoa; Chordata; Aves; Psittaciformes; Psittacidae
Exons: 3
Source: RefSeq, a predicted model, not a curated record